This 97-nucleotide microRNA precursor is filed under the name Pelobates cultripes (western spadefoot toad). Lineage: Eukaryota; Metazoa; Chordata; Amphibia; Anura; Pelobatidae. The record is from RNAcentral.
GUUUCAGUCCCACAUAAGGGCAUUCAUCAGGAUCAUAGAUACCAUAGAUAUCUAUGAUCCUGAUGAAAGUACUUAUGUGGGACUGAAACGUUGAUCC